This 439-nucleotide ribosomal RNA is filed under the name uncultured bacterium. Its description in RNAcentral is "partial 16S ribosomal RNA". It matches the Rfam family "Bacterial small subunit ribosomal RNA", at positions 338 to 795 of the family's 1533-position model. The record is from RNAcentral.
CCUAGGGUGGCAGCAGUGGGGAAUAUUGCACAAUGGGGGAAACCCUGAUGCAGCGACGCCGCGUGAGUGAAGAAGUAUUUCGGUAUGUAUAGCCCUAUCAGCAGGGAAGAAAAUGACGGUACCUGACUAAGAAGCCCUGGCGAACUACGUGCCAGCAGCCGCGGUAAUACGUAAGGGGCAAGCGUUCUCCGGAUUUACUGGGUGUAAAGGGAGCGUAGACGGCCAGACAAGUCAGAAGUGAAAGCCCAGGGCUCAACCCUGUGACUGCUUUUGAAACUGUCGGGCUGGAGUGCAGGAGAGGUAAGCGGAAUUCCUAGUGUAGCGGUGAAAUGCGUAGAUAUUAGGAGGAACACCAGUGGCGAAGGCAGCUUACUGGACUGUAACUGACGUUGAGGCUCGAAAGCGUGGGGAGCAAACAGGAUUAGAUACCCCUGUAGUC